This 976-nucleotide long non-coding RNA is filed under the name Anser brachyrhynchus (Pink-footed goose). RNAcentral describes it as "lncRNA (ENSABRG00000015422.1)". The record is from RNAcentral. Lineage: Eukaryota; Metazoa; Chordata; Aves; Anseriformes; Anatidae.
CUAGAUCUGAAACUAAGUUAACUACUCAUUAAUUCUUUCCUAGGCAGUUUCUAAAAUCUGUAUCCUAAGUUUCCUUGGUAACAGCAGACAGCAUAAUGUUCCAUGACACCUAUCCACUAAACAACACAAAAGCAUGAAUCCCGAACCUCUGUGUCCAUCUGGGAGUAUAUGGGGAGACUGGUGACAGACUUAGUCCCCCACCUGUAACAUGAUCCUGCACCAAGCACACAUCAAAUGCUGCUGAUGUGGAUGGGCACUGCAUCCUGUGGCAUACUGGAUGUGCAGAUAACAGUUGCCAGCCAUCAUCUCGAGAGUCUAGAUUUGCUACUUGAAAUAUGCAGCAUAUGAAAUGUGAAAACGACAUGUCAUAUUGCAUCCUAAUUAGAAAUGGAGAACAAAGAACUCCACAGGACCUGCAGUUUCUCUCUACUGAUGAGAAAAGGGAUUGCUCUGAAGAAGGUCUGGCUUUUAACGCUGGGGCCAACAGCAGCCUAAAGCCUUCCAGCUCACCUGGGAGGAUGCCUGUGAGCCAGCAUGCCAUGAGAAGAUGAACUCUGCAUGGGUUAACGCUGCCCUGGGUUAGCAAUGCUUUUCUUUUCCCUGAUUUCUCCCUGCCUUUUUAACUAAUACUUAGUUUCUAGUGCUGCAUCCUCUGUUUUGCAAAACAAGUCUUAACGUGAACAGAGAGCUCCUAUGCCUCAGAAUGCAGAAUGAACGUAGCUACCAUUUAGGUCACGCCAAGCUUUACCCUUGUGACUUGAGGAAAAUUGUGUUUGAUGAAAUUCUGCCUAACUUGUUUUUUUUUUUUUAAUUAUUAUUAUUUUAUUUUUUUAAAUUAAGGAUGGAACAUAUAUAUAAUUAGUUGACAUAUCAAAGUAUAUAAUUCAAAUGAGAAUAGCAUACUUCUGGAAGACAAUGCAAGUGUAGUCAUCAAGAUUUCAAUAAAAAUAUAUUUAUUACCUGUGAUUAGCCUACU